AUGGGGGAAUGCAAGAGCUCCCGGCGCCCUCUCCUCCUCGCCGCCAUUGUUGUCGUGCUCGCCUUCUUCGUCGCGCAAUGCGGAGCGAGGGUGCUGACGGUGGACGAGCUGCUGGACCAGUACUCCGAGUCCGACCACCACUCGGCCUCUCCGCCUCCCGGCUCCCCCGGCUGCGCCCCGGAAGCAUCGCCGCCGCCCGUCAUCCCGGCGCCGUCCUUCGCCUACCUGUCGCCGCCGCCGCCCAUGCAGUUCUACUCCCCUCCGCCCCCCGAGGUCGUGCCCAGCCCGCCUGAGGUCACACCAAGCCCGCCUGAGAUCGUGCCGAGUCCGCCUGAGAUCACGCCGAGCCCGCCUGAGAUAGCGCCACUGCCGCCGGUGGUCGCGCCCAGCCCACCGGAGAUUGCGCCGCUGCCGCCGGUGGUCGCGCCCAGCCCACCGGAGAUUGCGCCGCUGCCGCCGGUGGUCGCGCCCAGCCCGCCGGAGAUCGCGCCGCUGCCGCCGGUGGUCGCGCCCAGCCCGCCCGAGAUCGCGCCACUGCCACCGGUCGUCGCGNNNNNNNNNNNNNNNNNNNNNNNNNNNNNNNNNNNNNNNNNNNNNNNNNNNNNNNNNNNNNNNNNGUUCCCGAGCCCUCCGGAGGUGACGCCGCUCCCGCCGAUAGUGUACCCGAGUCCACCGGAGGUUGCGCCCAGUCCACCGGAGGUCGCACCGCUCCCGGGGCCACCAGAGGUCACGCCUAGCCCGCCGGAGGUCGGGCCAUUCCCAGGGCCACCAGAGGUCACGCCCAGCCCACCGGACGUGACGCCAUUCCCUGGGCCACCGGAGGUCACGCCCAGCCCGCCGGAAGUCGAGCCGUUCCCGGGCCCACCGGAGGUGACUCCCAGCCCACCCGAGGUCACGCCGUUCCCGGGGCCACCGGAGGUGACUCCCAGCCCGCCGGAGGUCACGCCGUUCCCAAGCCCGCCGGAGGUGACCCCCAGCCCGCCAGACUACGCGCCGUACCCGCCUCCGGAGUCCUCACCGGGGUCCGGGUCGGGGUCGUCCCCGAGCCCGCCGGGGGGCAGCUUCCAGCCGCCGGUGGUGCUCCCGCCGACGACCGGGCCGCCGUCGCCGUCGGCGGGGCACGCGGAGUGGUGCGUGGCGAAGCCGUCGGUGCCGGCGGCGAUCGUGCAGCAGGCCAUGGACUACGCGUGCGCGUCCGGCGCCGACUGCGAGUCCCUCCAGGCGGACGGCGCCUGCUUCAAGCCGGACACCAUGACGUCCCACGCCUCCUACGCCUUCAACAGCUACUGGCAGCGCGCCAAGUCCACCGGCGCCACCUGCGACUUCGGCGGCACCGCCAUGCUCAUCACCAAGGACCCGAGCUAUGAUAACUGCCAUUACAGUGUGAUGUGA
RNAcentral lists this ribosomal RNA (1392 nucleotides) under Triticum aestivum (bread wheat). RNAcentral describes it as "partial small subunit ribosomal RNA". Lineage: Eukaryota; Viridiplantae; Streptophyta; Magnoliopsida; Poales; Poaceae. The record is from RNAcentral.